UGCCGUCUGGCUUCGGAGUUAGGGCUGUUAGGGCAGUGGUAGGCGGGUAAGCGGCAGAGUAAUCGGAUUAUUAGCGCCUACCAGAGGUAGCUUCUGCCUCGCUCAGUGUUGAUUUCCUAUAUGGCUUCCGAGCAGUCCUGGCCAAGUUGCUGCCACCACCGGGACCUGUGAGGACAAACCCCAAGGCGAGAUGCGGAGAUGGCAGUUCGAUGCGAGUGUUGAUAAAGCAUGCAAGUUGUCGCAUCAACUGGGCGCAGCGGGACGGCCCGCACGGUCGUCUCAAGCCGUCGAGCACGCGCGCUGCUUCAGUGCAGCCAACACAUUUGAGUUCGUUCAAUCAGUUAUGAGGUGACGGUGCCCAUUUGAGUGUGUGGAUUAUAGCUUCGGAACACGGUGUUGUUAAGCACCUAGCUCGGUACUGGUUGGUUGGCGAGCGAACCUUCGACGGGCGGACAUAGGGGGUUGGUGACCUGGUGCCUUGGCAGCCGACGUCAAUCUUACCUGCUUUACUAAAUAUCUCUAUGACGAGAACCCUUUUCGAUUGGGAAGCAGUAACCUCAACGUUCACGGCGUCCCAACCACUACCUACGUACGGGCCUGAAGCUACUGCGAAGCUUUGUAUUUACGUACCAGAUUCGAUUCAUCGGAUCCCCCGCCUAUCUCAGAUCCUGAAUAUUAAUCCCAAAUGUAGCUUUUUAAAUCUUCCAUUGAGUAGUCUCCAUCAUGUGGCAAAGCCGCGGCGACACAGGCUGCUUUAUACUUGUUUGACAGCACCACUCUAAGCGUUAUGGGUAAGAUUCCUGUGAAAAUAAUAGAUCAAAUUCAACUUAUGUUCAGCCUAGUAUGAAGGGUUGCGACUAGGCUUGUAUGGCAAGUACUGCGCAAAC
This 887-nucleotide long non-coding RNA is filed under the name Volvox carteri. RNAcentral's name for it is "long non-coding RNA (VCAR_LNC003005)". Lineage: Eukaryota; Viridiplantae; Chlorophyta; Chlorophyceae; Chlamydomonadales; Volvocaceae. The record is from RNAcentral.